CCUACGGGUGGCAGCAGUCGAGAAUCAUUCACAAUGGGGGAAACCCUGAUGGUGCGACGCCGCGUGGGGGAAUGAAGGUCUUCGGAUUGUAAACCCCUGUCAUGUGGGAGCAAAUUAAAAAGAUCGUACCACACGAGGAAGAGACGGCUAACUCUGUGCCAGCAGCCGCGGUAAUACAGAGGUCUCAAGCGUUGUUCGGAAUCACUGGGCGUAAAGCGUGCGUAGGCUGUUUCGUAAGUCGUGUGUGAAAGGCGCGGGCUCAACCCGCGGACGGCACAUGAUACUGCGAGACUAGAGUAAUGGAGGGGGAACCGGAAUUCUCGGUGGAGCAGUGAAAUGCGUAGAUAUCGAGAGGAACACUCGUGGCGAAGGCGGGUUCCUGGACAUUAACUGACGCUGAGGCACGAAGGCCAGGGGAGCGAAAGGGAUUAGAUACCCUUGUAGUC
This 446-nucleotide ribosomal RNA is filed under the name uncultured bacterium. Its description in RNAcentral is "partial 16S ribosomal RNA". It matches the Rfam family "Bacterial small subunit ribosomal RNA", at positions 338 to 795 of the family's 1533-position model. The record is from RNAcentral.